Molecule: transfer RNA, 87 nt
Filed under: Ruminococcus sp. CAG:379
Lineage: Bacteria; Bacillati; Bacillota; Clostridia; Eubacteriales; Oscillospiraceae
Description: transfer RNA-Leu(TAA)
Rfam family: tRNA
About the family: Transfer RNA (tRNA) molecules are approximately 80 nucleotides in length. Their secondary structure includes four short double-helical elements and three loops (D, anti-codon, and T loops).
Source: RNAcentral
GCCGCUGUGGUGGAAUUGGUAGACACAAGGGACUUAAAAUCCCUCGGAGUAAAAUCCGUACCGGUUCAAGUCCGGUCAGCGGCACCA